RNAcentral lists this unclassified non-coding RNA (477 nucleotides) under Hevea brasiliensis (rubber tree). Lineage: Eukaryota; Viridiplantae; Streptophyta; Magnoliopsida; Malpighiales; Euphorbiaceae. The record is from RNAcentral.
AGGAGGUUGAUGAGGGCAUGGUAGGACUCUACAUAAUACUCUCUUGUCAAUUUAAGCUUAACAGUUUUUUAUGAACAAUUGAGGGUUUUUUGUGUUGCAAUUCCUGUCUGCAUAUGAUGCUGCAUGUUGAUCUAUUUUGCUAGGUACAAGAUUAGGAUAAGAAUUGCUGCUUUUAUAUUUUAAUUAUUGCUGUACUGUAAUUUUGUAUGUCAAUAAGCAAGGGCUUCAUAGUUUUUUAAGGAUGUCUGGAAAUACAUGUCAGCAAAGAGCAGGAUUAUGUCAUUUCGAGUAAUUCUUGGUAGAUGGAACUCAUGCAUUGAGCAAUUUGUACUAAUUGGUUUGGAGUAAAUGCUGUGAUGUCAAGAAUUAUUAACUUGCAUGUCCAGCACCUUAUGUGACUUGUAUGAUUAUGAAAUUUUAUCCAUGCUGUCAUAGCUGUUAUUGAAUUAGUUAAAAUGAUAAGAAGCAUAAAACUGG